RNAcentral lists this ribosomal RNA (433 nucleotides) under uncultured bacterium. RNAcentral describes it as "partial 16S ribosomal RNA". It matches the Rfam family "Bacterial small subunit ribosomal RNA", at positions 29 to 507 of the family's 1533-position model. The record is from RNAcentral.
AACGAACGCUGGCGGCAUGCCUAACACAUGCAAGUCGAACGAGACCUUCGGGUCUAGUGGCGCACGGGUGCGUAACGCGUGGGAACCUGCCCUUAGGUUCGGAAUAACUCCCCGAAAGGGGUGCUAAUACCGGAUAAUGUCAUCGGAGCAAAGAUCUAUUGCCUUUGGAUGGGCCCGCGUUGGAUUAGCUAGUUGGUAGGGUAAAAGCGUACCAAGGCGACGAUCCAUAGCUGGUCGGAGAGGAUGAUCAGGCACACUGGGCCUGAGACACGGCCCAGACUCCGACGGGAGGCAGCAGUGGGGAGUAUUGGACAAUGGGCGAAAGCCUGAUCCAGCAAUGCCGCGUGAGUGAUGAAGGCCUUAGGGUUGUAAAGCUCUCUUACCCGGGAUGAUAAUGACAGUACCGGGAGAAUAAGCUCCGGCUAACUCCGUG